AGCAGCCGCCGCGGUAAUACGUAGGUGGCAAGCGUUAUCCGGAAUUAUUGGGCGUAAAGCGCGCGUAGGCGGUUUCUUAAGUCUGAUGUGAAAGCCCACGGCUCAACCGUGGAGGGUCAUUGGAAACUGGGAAACUUGAGUGCAGAAGAGGAAAGUGGAAUUCCAUGUGUAGCGGUGAAAUGCGCAGAGAUAUGGAGGAGCACCAGUGGCGAAGGCGACUUUCUGGUCUGUAACUGACGCUGAUGUGCGAAAGCGUGGGGAUCAAACAGGAUUAGAUACCCCUGUAGUCCCUGUCUCUUAUAC
This 303-nucleotide ribosomal RNA is filed under the name uncultured bacterium. Its description in RNAcentral is "partial 16S ribosomal RNA". It matches the Rfam family "Bacterial small subunit ribosomal RNA", at positions 507 to 807 of the family's 1533-position model. The record is from RNAcentral.